This is an RNA transcript of Zalophus californianus (California sea lion), 863 nucleotides long. It is a transcript of the gene named ribosome biogenesis protein WDR12-like, with no coding region annotated. Lineage: Eukaryota; Metazoa; Chordata; Mammalia; Carnivora; Otariidae. The transcript is spliced from 2 exons. The record is from RefSeq and is a predicted model, not a curated record.
AUGAUGACUGGAUCAGUUCUGUCCGAGGGGCAGAGGAAUGAUAGUUUGUCUUGCCUACUACUGAGUGCUUCUGUGGAUCAGACGAUUCUCUUAGGGGAGUGGAAUGUGGAGAGAAACAAAGUGAAAGCCCUGCACUGCUGCAGAAGCCAUGCCGGAAGUGCGGAUUCUAUAGCUGUUGAUAGCACGGGAACUAAAUUUUGCAGUGGCUCCUGGGAUAAGAUGCUAAAGAUCCGGUCCACAGUUCCUACAGAUGAAGAAGAUGAAAUGGAGGAAUCCACACAUCGACCAAGAAAGAAACAGAAAACAGAGCAGUUGGGACUAACAGGGACUCCCAAUAGUGACCCUCUCUGGCCGCAAGGAAGCCAUUUCUUCGGUUCUACGGUCAGAUGCCGAAGAAAUCUGCAGGGCAUCUUGGGGCCACACAAUUAGGAUGUGGGAUGUAGAGUCUGGCAGUCUUACGUCAACUUUGACAGGAAAUAAGGUGUUUAAUUGUAUCUCCUAUUCUCCACUUUGUAAACGUUUAGCAUCUGGAAGCACAGAUAGGCAUAUCAGACUGUGGGAUCCCCGAACUAAAGAUGGUUCUUUGGUGUCGCUGUCCCUAACCUCACAUACAGGCUGGGUCACAUCAUUAAAGUGGUCUCCUACCCAUGAGCAGCAGCUGAUUUCAGGUUCUUUAGAUAAUAUCGUCAAACUGUGGGAUACAAGAAGUUGUAAAGCUCCUCUCUAUGAUCGAUCUGGCUGCUCAUGAAGACAAAGUUCUGAGUGUAGACUGGACAGACACUGGGUUACUUCUGAGUGGAGGAGCAGACAAUAAAUUGUAUUCCUACAGAUAUUCACCUACUACUUCUCAUGUGGGGGCAUGA